This 563-nucleotide unclassified non-coding RNA is filed under the name Homo sapiens (human). RNAcentral describes it as "MBL associated serine protease 1 (ENSG00000291559.1)". The record is from RNAcentral. Lineage: Eukaryota; Metazoa; Chordata; Mammalia; Primates; Hominidae.
UGAAAGCAUUUGUCACACUGUGUAAUACCUGCCUGUGUCUGUGUUCCUCAAUCUCAACACUGCUAUUGUGUGCACAGCACUGUGUCUAUCUCUCAUCACCUCCAUCUCAUGCUUUGCUCGGCAGUAGGCACACACUGGAUACUCAAUGAAUGACUUAUAUUGUGUAUACAGUUUCCAUUCUUUGGAAAUGUGGUAGAAACUGAGGACCAGGUGCUGGCAACCUUCUGUGGCAGGGAGACCACAGACACAGAGCAGACUCCCGGCCAGGAGGUGGUCCUCUCCCCUGGCUCCUUCAUGUCCAUCACUUUCCGGUCAGAUUUCUCCAAUGAGGAGCGUUUCACAGGCUUUGAUGCCCACUACAUGGCUGUGGAUGUGGACGAGUGCAAGGAGAGGGAGGACGAGGAGCUGUCCUGUGACCACUACUGCCACAACUACAUUGGCGGCUACUACUGCUCCUGCCGCUUCGGCUACAUCCUCCACACAGACAACAGGACCUGCCGAGUGGAGUGCAGUGACAACCUCUUCACUCAAAGGACUGGGGUGAUCACCAGCCCUGACUUCCC